GACGAACGCUGGCGGCGUGCUUAACACAUGCAAGUCGAACGGAAAGGCCCUGCUUUUGUUGGGUUCUCGAGUGGCGAACGGGUGAGUAACACGUGUGUAACCUGCCCUUGACUUUGGGAUAACUUCAGGAAACUGGGGCUCAUACCGGAUAGGAUCUCCUGCUGCAUGUGGGUGGUUGGAAAGUUUCGGCGGUUGGGGAUGGACUCGCGGCUUAUCAGCUUGUUGGUGGGGUAGUGGCUUACCAAGGCUUUGACGGGUAGCCGGCCUGAGAGGGUGACCGGCCACAUUGGGACUGAGAUACGGCCCAGACUCCUACGGGAGGCAGCAGUGGGGAAUAUUGCACAAUGGGCGGAAGCCUGAUGCAGCAACGCCGCGUGCGGGAUGACGGCCUUCGGGUUGUAAACCGCUUUCGCCUGUGACGAAGCGUGAGUGACGGUAAUGGGUAAAGAAGCACCGGCUAACUACGUG
RNAcentral lists this ribosomal RNA (468 nucleotides) under uncultured bacterium. Its description in RNAcentral is "partial 16S ribosomal RNA". It matches the Rfam family "Bacterial small subunit ribosomal RNA", at positions 28 to 507 of the family's 1533-position model. The record is from RNAcentral.